This is a long non-coding RNA of Felis catus (domestic cat), 648 nucleotides long. RefSeq lists it as uncharacterized. The record is from RefSeq and is a predicted model, not a curated record. The transcript is spliced from 3 exons. NCBI's taxonomy places the organism in Eukaryota, Metazoa, Chordata, Mammalia, Carnivora, Felidae.
AUUAUAAGAAGAGACAUCAGCCAGGAGUUUGGUCCUGGACUUCUAAUCUCCAGAACUGUGAUAAGAAACAGAAUGUACGCUGACCCUGUUCGUGGACUCUGCUAUGUUUCCCUGACUCCGAAAGUGAUGGGAAGCCCUCUUAGAAGUGCUUUUAUCCGUCUCGUCCUUUGAACCCAGGGUCUGCGUUUGGUACGCGUUCUAGCCCGUGUCUCAGAACGUACACGGUGCUUUUGGACCCGGGGUUGUGGCUGACGGGGUGUGUGGAGGUUGCCUGGUGGUGGAAUCUCAGGCUUUGCCACCUGAUCGUCUCCCAAGUACAAGAGCAAGUGGAGUGUGCAGCUGCUACAGCCACUUCUAGUCUAGUCUCCGUUCCGGCACUUUCCAGAAGACGAAAGCAGGGAGAAGGAAUUCUUUGAAAGGAGCAUGCUUGUCAAGAUGAAAUCAAGAGAGACAUGACUUUCGGCAGCAAAGUCCUAUGGGAGAGGCAGCAGACGAAUGCCAUGAGGCAAUGGGACGAGAAAAAUGGAACAAGAGAGAAGCAAAAGGUCAAGUGUCCCCCAAGUGACCCUUGCCCAUGACCAUCUCACUUAACAUCCGGACUCCAGAUGUUCCGUAGAUUUAUUAAACUCCACGUGUACUGGAGAAGUG